Molecule: unclassified non-coding RNA, 196 nt
Filed under: uncultured fungus
Lineage: Eukaryota; Fungi
Description: sequence contains ITS1, 5.8S rRNA gene
Source: RNAcentral
AUGAAUUUUGAAAGGGGUUGUAGCUGGCCUUUUAGGAGGCAUGUGCACACCCUGCUCUUCCAUUCUUACACCUGUGCACAUUCUGUAGGUCGGUUUGAGCGGCUCUCUCUCACGGGGGAUGCUGUUUGGCCUUCCUAUGUUUUAUAACAAACUCUGUAAUGUCAUAGAAUGUCAUCGCGUAUAACGCAUUAUAAUA